Molecule: ribosomal RNA, 433 nt
Filed under: uncultured bacterium
Lineage: Bacteria
Description: partial 16S ribosomal RNA
Rfam family: Bacterial small subunit ribosomal RNA
Source: RNAcentral
AACGAACGCUGGCGGCAUGCCUAACACAUGCAAGUCGAACGAGACCUUCGGGCCUAGUGGCGCACGGGUGCGUAACGCGUGGGAACCUGCCCUUAGGUUCGGAAUAACUCCCCGAAAGGGGUGCUAAUACCGGAUAAUGUCUUCGGACCAAAGAUUUAUCGCCUUUGGAUGGGCCCGCGUUGGAUUAGCUAGUUGGUAGGGUAAAAGCCUACCAAGGCGACGAUCCAUAGCUGGUCUGAGAGGAUGAUCAGCCACACUGGGACUGAGACACGGCCCAGACUCCGACGGGAGGCAGCAGUAGGGAAUAUUGGACAAUGGGCGAAAGCCUAAUCCAGCAAUGCCGCGUGAGUGAUGAAGGCCUUAGGGUUGUAAAGCUCUUUUACCCGGGAUGAUAAUGACAGUACCGGGAGAAUAAGCUCCGGCUAACUCCGUG